UCUCCUUCCUCAGGUUCUCCUUCCUCAGCUUUUCCUCAGGGUCCUGAAAUGGUUAUUCAAUAACCAAUGAGACCACGUCUCAGCGAGUCCUACCCACUAAGACUCGAUUAAUAAACUAAUACGCCAUCCGGUUGCCUAAGCACAACACGAGUCAGAGGACUUACCUUGGCCUCCGUUCCAACCUGCAAUUCAAGGUUAAACACAGAUAUUCAAACAAGUCACGACAUCCGAUCAAGCAUUGAUCAAUCGACUAAGUCGAUUACAUGUCAGCCAGACCCUCUCUAGGUCAUUCCCACUCAUACCAUGCUUUCUCAGUGGUGUACUCAUUCACCAAAUCACAGUGUUUCUCGGGCGUCGUUUUCGCCAAUGACAUACCGAUCACCGACACCGUGCGUUCUUUAAGGCGCCGUUUUCACCAGUGAUAACCUUGAUCACCGAACCACGUGUCCUUUCAAGGGCGCCGUUUUCGCCAAGGUGACAUCGGCUAUAGACAACAUCGUGCGUUCUUUAAGGCGCCGUUUUCACCAGUGAUAUUCCCAUAACCACCGAACCACGUGUGUCUAUAAGUCAUUUACGUGCGUUCUUUAAGGCGCCGUUUUCGCCAGUGAUACUUCCAAUCACCGAACCACGUAUGUCCAAUAAUAUCGUACCUGAUUGGUCUCACCAUUCUCCCUACUAUAUAGCCCAUCAACGUACUGGCGCUAUAUAUCCAUGCUUGGCCAUUACCAAUCAAAUAUUCAAUAACAAACAAUUUAGGACAAUUCCUAAAAUUCCACAAUAAAUUCAAUUCCACACAACGUAAAGCUCAAUUAAAUAAACGGACUGCACCACGACAAUCGGCACGAAAUUCCGGUCACCGGCCAUCCCGGUUGAAUUUCCGGAAAAAUAAUUAAUUAAAUAAAUAAAUUUCGAAAAUAAAUAAAUAAACAUUAAAAAUCCAAUUUAGGCUUAUAUUGCCUUAUUGGAGCCCGAAACGGGUCGAGAAAAAUCUCGAGAUACAUUUAAUAAAUAACCAAACAUUUCUACUUGCCAAUAGCUAAGUCUAACCACCUAACAUGCAUCCUCAAGUCACUAAUUUAAGUGUUCUAACCUAAUCUAACCACCUAAGUGCAUGUAAUUAAAUCUAACCAACCCUAAGACAUAAUUAGCAAAUUAAUAAAGCUUUAGUGAGUAAAACUCACUUGAUCAAAAGCGGUAUCGGAACACCGCGACGGCGACGCGACGGCGGCCGAAAUCGAACUUUCGACAACACCGGCGGCUUGGGACCGGGCCUUGACCUUGGCCCAACAAAUCUCAGCCCAACUGAGAUUUGUUACUGAAAUGGGCCAAGCUUGAUUGAAAUAGCACUUGCUGGGCUUCUUGGGCCGCAGGACCUCAAAGACUGGGCUGACUUGUGAAAACAAUCAACUUGCUGGGCUGAGCUUGGGCCAAAACUUCUGCUGACUUGGCCUAAAUGGGCUGCUGUUGGUGUAAUAUUUGAAUGGGCUUGAAGACUGCACUAUGGCCCGAAAUUACUGGCUUUACUGGGCCUGAGGAUUGCUGGACUGAAGCUUCGGUUUGGGCUGAGGACACGCGUGCAGCUGGUCGUGGGAGUGUGCGGUCAAUUGACCGAUCGAUGCUGCCCUCGGUGAAUUGAUUUGUGAAUAAACGAAGGUGGAGCUGGCCACGUGAGGAACUUCGGGCGCUGAAGAUGGAGAGGAAAUUGGAUUUGCUUCGUGGCAGGGC
This 1725-nucleotide long non-coding RNA is filed under the name Eucalyptus grandis. Its description in RNAcentral is "long non-coding RNA (EGRA_LNC000875)". Lineage: Eukaryota; Viridiplantae; Streptophyta; Magnoliopsida; Myrtales; Myrtaceae. The record is from RNAcentral.